AUAUAUUACGUUACACAGAAACUAGUGUUCUCUCUCUUCUAUCCUGUUUCAUGGUAUCAGAGUUCCUGAGAAAUUGAAUUCUUGUUCAGAGGAUUACUUUGUAUAUAUGAAAUGGACAGACCUUGUCUUUGAACAGACCUGAUUGUUCCUCUAUACCAGAUGUAGUAUCUCUCCCCUUACUAGAGAUAUUCUUUAUGGAAACUUUCUCUUCUCUCCCUGCAUUCCCACUGAAAUCCCUGUUUUAGGUGUUUUGCUACUGGUCAGCCCUGUUCAUUGAUGCCUUUUCACUGGUUUAAUGUAACUGAUAAAGUUUCAAAUUGUUUUGCAAUUUUCUUAGACUGGAA
Molecule: long non-coding RNA, 344 nt
Filed under: Bos taurus (domestic cattle)
Lineage: Eukaryota; Metazoa; Chordata; Mammalia; Artiodactyla; Bovidae
Description: long non-coding RNA NONBTAT021886
Source: RNAcentral